Molecule: ribosomal RNA, 508 nt
Filed under: uncultured bacterium
Lineage: Bacteria
Description: partial 16S ribosomal RNA
Rfam family: Bacterial small subunit ribosomal RNA
Source: RNAcentral
GAUGAACGCUAGCUACAGGCUUAACACAUGCAAGUCGAGGGGAAACGAUAUUGGAAGCUUGCUUCCGAUAGGCGUCGACCGGCGCACGGGUGAGUAACGCGUAUCCAACCUGCCCAUCACUUGGGGAUAACCUGGCGAAAGUAAGACUAAUACCCAAUGAUAUCUCUAGAAGACAUCUGAAGGAGAUUAAAGAUUUAUCGGUGAUGGAUGGGGAUGCGUCUGAUUAGCUUGUUGGCGGGGUAACGUCCCACCAAGGCGACGAUCAGGAGGGGUUCUGAGAGGAAGGUCCCCCACAUUGGAACUGAGACACGGUCCAAACUCCUACGGGAGGCAGCAGUGAGGAAUAUUGGUCAAUGGGCGAGAGCCUGAACCAGCCAAGUAGCGUGCAGGAUGACGGCCCUAUGGGUUGUAAACUGCUUUUAUAAGGGAAUAAAGUGAGUCUCGUGAGACUUUUUGCAUGUACCUUAUGAAUAAGGACCGGCUAAUUCCGUGCCAGCCGCCGCAGUAA